AUUGAACGCUGGCGGCAUGCCUUACACAUGCAAGUCGAACGGCAGCACGGGAGCAAUCCUGGUGGCGAGUGGCGAACGGGUGAGUAAUACAUCGGAACGUGUCCGGUAGUGGGGGAUAGCCCGGCGAAAGCCGGAUUAAUACCGCAUACGACCUACGGGUGAAAGCGGGGGAUCGCAAGACCUCGCGCUAUCGGAGCGGCCGAUGUCAGAUUAGCUAGUUGGUGGGGUAAAGGCCACCAAGGCGACGAUCUGUAGCUGGUCUGAGAGGACGACCAGCCACACUGGGACUGAGACACGGCCCAGACUCCUACGGGAGGCAGCAGGUGGGGAAUUUUGGACAAUGGGCGCAAGCCUGAUCCAGCCAUGCCGCGUGAGU
This 376-nucleotide ribosomal RNA is filed under the name uncultured bacterium. RNAcentral describes it as "bacterial SSU rRNA". It matches the Rfam family "Bacterial small subunit ribosomal RNA", at positions 29 to 406 of the family's 1533-position model. The record is from RNAcentral.